RNAcentral lists this ribosomal RNA (518 nucleotides) under uncultured Pseudomonadota bacterium. RNAcentral's name for it is "bacterial SSU rRNA". It matches the Rfam family "Bacterial small subunit ribosomal RNA", at positions 355 to 858 of the family's 1533-position model. The record is from RNAcentral. Lineage: Bacteria; Pseudomonadati; Pseudomonadota.
UGGGGAAUAUUGGGCAAUGGGCGCAAGCCUGACCCAGCCACGCCGCGUGAGUGAUGAAGGCCUUCGGGUCGUAAGCUCUGUGGGGAGGGACGGAAAACCCUAGAGGUUAAUACCCUCAGGCUUGACGGUACCUCCUUAGCAAGCACCGGCUAACUCCGUGCCAGCAGCCGCGGUAAUACGGGGGGUGGCAAACGUUGCUCGGAAUUAUUGGGCGUAAAGCGCACGUAGGCGGUCCCUUAAGUCGGGUGUGAAAGCCCUCGGCUUAACCGAGGAAGUGCAUUCGAUACUGGGGGGACUUGAGUACUGGAGAGGAUGGCGGAAUUCCCGGUGUAGAGGUGAAAUUCGUAGAUAUCGGGGAGGAACACCAGCGGCGAAGGCGGCCAUUCUGGACAGAUACUGACGCUGAGGUGCGAAAGCGUGGGGAGGCAAACAGGAUUAGAUACCCUGGUAGUCCACGCCGUAAACGAUGAGCGCUAGGUGGUCGCGGGUAUUGACCCCUGCGGUGCCGCAGCCAACGC